RNAcentral lists this ribosomal RNA (440 nucleotides) under uncultured bacterium. Its description in RNAcentral is "bacterial SSU rRNA". It matches the Rfam family "Bacterial small subunit ribosomal RNA", at positions 29 to 517 of the family's 1533-position model. The record is from RNAcentral.
AACGAACGCUGGCGGCAUGCCUAACACAUGCAAGUCGAACGAGACCUUCGGGUCUAGUGGCGCACGGGUGCGUAACGCGUGGGAAUCUGCCCUGGGGUGCGGAAUAACUCGGAGAAAUCCGUGCUAAUACCGCAUAAUGUCUUCGGACCAAAGAUUUAUCGCCCUGGGAUGAGCCCGCGUAGGAUUAGCUAGUUGGUGGGUAAAGGCCUACCAAGGCGACGAUCCUUAGCUGGUCUGAGAGGAUGAUCAGCCACACUGGGACUGAGACACGGCCCAGACUCCUACGGGAGGCAGCAGUGGGGAAUAUUGGACAAUGGGCGAAAGCCUGAUCCAGCAAUGCCGCGUGAGUGAUGAAGGCCCUAGGUGUAAAGCUCUUUACCCGGGUAUGAUAAUGACAGUACCGGGAGAAUAAGCUCCGGCUAACUCCGUGCCAGCAGCCG